UUGUUAUCGAGAGCGUGGCGAAAGCACUGGCUUUAUGACCCACCGGCAACCCUGAGAAAUUCUCGAACGGGUGCCAAAUCCAGCCCAAACUUGGUUUAAGUUGGGGAAAGAUACAUAG
This 118-nucleotide non-coding RNA is filed under the name Candidatus Nomuraibacteriota. RNAcentral describes it as "Candidatus Nomurabacteria SAM-I sequence". It matches the Rfam family "SAM riboswitch aptamer (S box leader)". Rfam says of the family: The SAM riboswitch is found upstream of a number of genes which code for proteins involved in methionine or cysteine biosynthesis in Gram-positive bacteria. The SAM riboswitch acts at the level of transcription termination control. The predicted structure consists of a complex stem-loop region followed by a single stem loop terminator region. The record is from RNAcentral.